Molecule: ribosomal RNA, 227 nt
Filed under: Melioribacter sp.
Lineage: Bacteria; Pseudomonadati; Ignavibacteriota; Ignavibacteria; Ignavibacteriales; Melioribacteraceae
Description: partial 23S ribosomal RNA
Rfam family: Bacterial large subunit ribosomal RNA
Source: RNAcentral
AGUGUACCAGUUGUCGCGCCAGCGGCAGCGCUGGGUAGCUAUGAACGGAUGUGAUAAGCGCUGAAAGCAUCUAAGUGCGAAGCACACUUCAAGAUGAGGUAUCCCUUUCUCCAACGCAAGGCGGAGAACUGAAGACUCCUCGGAGAUUACGAGGUUGAUAGGCUGCAGGUGUAAGUCCGGCAACGGAUUGAGCCGAGCAGUACUAAUAAGUCGUGAGACUUAGCCAU